UACGUAGGCAGCGAGCGUUGUUCGGAAUUACUGGGCGUAAAGAGUGUGUAGGCGGUGCUCUAAGUUCGGUGUGAAAUCUCCUGGCUCAACUGGGAGGGUGCGCCGAAACUGGAGUGCUUGAGCGUGGGAGAGGAAAGCGGAAUUCCUGGUGUAGCGGUGAAAUGCGUAGAUAUCAGGAGGAACACCUGUGGUGUAGACGCUUUCUGGACCAUAGCUGACGCUGAGGCGCGAAAGCCAGGGGAGCAAACGGG
RNAcentral lists this ribosomal RNA (251 nucleotides) under uncultured bacterium. RNAcentral describes it as "partial 16S ribosomal RNA". It matches the Rfam family "Bacterial small subunit ribosomal RNA", at positions 524 to 776 of the family's 1533-position model. The record is from RNAcentral.